This 462-nucleotide ribosomal RNA is filed under the name uncultured bacterium. Its description in RNAcentral is "partial 16S ribosomal RNA". It matches the Rfam family "Bacterial small subunit ribosomal RNA", at positions 28 to 507 of the family's 1533-position model. The record is from RNAcentral.
GACGAACGCUGGCGGCGUGCUUAACGCAUGCAAGUCGAACGGAAAGGCCCUUCGGGGUACUCGAGUGGCGAACGGGUGAGUAACACGUGGGUGAUCUGCCCUGCCCUUUGGGAUAAGCCUGGGAAACUGGGACUAAUACCGAAUAGGACCACGCGCUUCAUGGUGUGUGGUGGAAAGCUUUGGCGGUGUGGGAUGGGCCCGCGGCCUAUCAGCUUGUUGGUGGGGUAAUGGCCUACCAAGGCGACGACGGGUAGCCGGCCUGAGAGGGUGACCGGCCACACUGGGACUGAGAUACGGCCCAGACUCCUACGGGAGGCAGCAGUGGGGAAUAUUGCACAAUGGGCGCAAGCCUGAUGCAGCGACGCCGCGUGAGGGAUGACGGCCUUCGGGUUGUAAACCUCUUUCAAUAGUGACGAAGCGCAAGUGACGGUACCUAUAGAAGAAGCACCGGCCAACUACGUG